RNAcentral lists this ribosomal RNA (497 nucleotides) under uncultured bacterium. Its description in RNAcentral is "partial 16S ribosomal RNA". It matches the Rfam family "Bacterial small subunit ribosomal RNA", at positions 28 to 507 of the family's 1533-position model. The record is from RNAcentral.
GACGAACGCUGGCGGCGUGCCUAAUACAUGCAAGUUGAGCGCUGAAGGUUGGUACUUGUCCCAACUGGAUGAGCAGCGAACGGGUGAGUAACGCGUGGGGAAUCUGCCUUUGAGCGGGGGACAACAUUUGGAAACGAAUGCUAAUACCGCAUAAAAACUUUAAACACAAGUUUUAAGUUUGAAAGAUGCAAUUGCAUCACUCAAAGAUGAUCCCGCGUUGUAUUAGCUAGUUGGUGAGGUAAAGGCUCACCAAGGCGAUGAUACAUAGCCGACCUGAGAGGGUGAUAGGCCACAUUGGGACUGAGACACGGCCCAAACGCCUACGGGAGGCAGCAGUAGGGAAUCUUCGGCAAUGGACGAAAGUCUGACCGAGCAACGCCGCGUGAGUGAAGAAGGUUUUCGGAUCGUAAAACUCUGUUGGUAGAGAAGAACGUUGGUGAGAGUGGAAAGCUCAUCAAGUGACGGUAACUACCCAGAAAGGGACGGCUAACUACGUG